This 258-nucleotide long non-coding RNA is filed under the name Ursus americanus (American black bear). Its description in RNAcentral is "lncRNA (ENSUAMG00000025598.1)". The record is from RNAcentral. Lineage: Eukaryota; Metazoa; Chordata; Mammalia; Carnivora; Ursidae.
CCCCGCGGCAAGAUGGCGGCGUGAAGGCACCGGGCAGCGGCAGAAACUGAAGACUCAGGGGCCCCAGGGACUGGAAGAAAUCACAGUACCUGCUUGGAAAGAAGAGGUAGCGACUUGCCCGAGCUCAACCCCAGAGCGGCUCCGGAGUUGGGCUGCUCUCCACCGAGCUGUCUGUUUAUAUGGAGUGCCUGGAGGGCGUCUGCCAUGAGUCUGUCGCUAACCGUGCUAACCAGGAGAGCUGGCUGGUUGGGGAGAAGA